GGAAAGAUGGCUGAGCUGGUCUAAGGCGCACGACUGGAAAUCGUGUGCGGGCUAAUACCCCGCCGGGGGUUCGAAUCCCCCUCUUUCCG
Molecule: transfer RNA, 89 nt
Filed under: Oscillospiraceae bacterium
Lineage: Bacteria; Bacillati; Bacillota; Clostridia; Eubacteriales; Oscillospiraceae
Description: tRNA-Ser
Rfam family: tRNA
About the family: Transfer RNA (tRNA) molecules are approximately 80 nucleotides in length.
Source: RNAcentral